This 584-nucleotide ribosomal RNA is filed under the name Lactobacillus delbrueckii subsp. bulgaricus. RNAcentral describes it as "bacterial SSU rRNA". It matches the Rfam family "Bacterial small subunit ribosomal RNA", at positions 113 to 682 of the family's 1533-position model. The record is from RNAcentral. Lineage: Bacteria; Bacillati; Bacillota; Bacilli; Lactobacillales; Lactobacillaceae.
ACACGUGGGCAAUCUGCCCUAAAGACUGGGAUACCACUUGGAAACAGGUGCUAAUACCGGAUAACAACAUGAAUCGCAUGAUUCAAGUUUGAAAGGCGGCGCAAGCUGUCACUUUAGGAUGAGCCCGCGGCGCAUUACCUAGUUGGUGGGGUAAAGGCCUACCAAGGCAAUGAUGCGUAGCCGAGUUGAGAGACUGAUCGGCCACAUUGGGACUGAGACACGGCCCAAACUCCUACGGGAGGCAGCAGUAGGGAAUCUUCCACAAUGGACGCAAGUCUGAUGGAGCAACGCCGCGUGAGUGAAGAAGGUCUUCGGAUCGUAAAGCUCUGUUGUUGGUGAAGAAGGAUAGAGGCAGUAACUGGUCUUUAUUUGACGGUAAUCAACCACAAAGUCACGGCUAACUACGUGCCAGCAGCCGCGGUAAUACGUAGGUGGCAAGCGUUGUCCGGAUUUAUUGGGCGUAAAGCGAGCGCAGGCGGAAUGAUAAGUCUGAUGUGAAAGCCCACGGCUCAACCGUGGAACUGCAUCGGAAACUGUCAUUCUUGAGUGCAGAAGAGGAGGAGUGGAACUCCAUGUGUAGACGG